UGCCGUGAUGUCGUAAUUUGCGUCUUACUCUGUGCCCAGUGACAGUUGCCUGCUGUCGGUGUACUGGUGCAGAUGCCUGAUGAACACUUAACGCUGAGCA
RNAcentral lists this small nucleolar RNA (100 nucleotides) under Antrostomus carolinensis (chuck-will's-widow). RNAcentral describes it as "Caprimulgus carolinensis (chuck-will's-widow) Small nucleolar RNA SNORD16". It matches the Rfam family "Small nucleolar RNA SNORD16". Rfam says of the family: U16 is a member of the C/D class of snoRNA which contain the C (UGAUGA) and D (CUGA) box motifs. U81 acts as a guanine methylation guide and is found in an intron of ribosomal proteins L1 gene in animals. Lineage: Eukaryota; Metazoa; Chordata; Aves; Caprimulgiformes; Caprimulgidae. The record is from Rfam by way of RNAcentral.